CUUCACCGAGCCCAGCCACAGCGGCCUUCCGCCGGCCCGUUCCCGGCCGUAGGUGGCCAGCAGCGCCUGCGCCUC
This 75-nucleotide antisense RNA is filed under the name Streptomyces sp. DvalAA-14. RNAcentral's name for it is "ASpks TB sRNA". It matches the Rfam family "ASpks TB sRNA". The record is from Rfam by way of RNAcentral. Lineage: Bacteria; Bacillati; Actinomycetota; Actinomycetes; Kitasatosporales; Streptomycetaceae.